This 315-nucleotide long non-coding RNA is filed under the name Sorghum bicolor (sorghum). RNAcentral's name for it is "long non-coding RNA (SBIC_LNC008767)". Lineage: Eukaryota; Viridiplantae; Streptophyta; Magnoliopsida; Poales; Poaceae. The record is from RNAcentral.
GCACUAGUUCAAGUCCUUGCCCUUUGCAGUUUUUUUUGUUUUUUUAAUAGUUAACAAUUUCACGUAAUAUUUUAUUUUGAUCUCAAUUUAACUUAUUAUCACAUACUCGCAAUGCAUAAGAUUCCCCUACCAGUUUCUUUUCUAGAAUUAACAAUUCUUUUAUUAUUACCUUGUCAAUGUGUUAUUUUACCUAGUUCCUAGGUGACCUUACAUCAAACACAAAUCCAAUGCAAUAGUACUUCCUAAUGGCACCUUUAUUCUAAAGAGGUGCAAUACCACGGAUAUAUUGCAUCCAAAAAACAUGCUAACGUAUCC